Molecule: long non-coding RNA, 4744 nt
Filed under: Salvia miltiorrhiza (redroot sage)
Lineage: Eukaryota; Viridiplantae; Streptophyta; Magnoliopsida; Lamiales; Lamiaceae
Description: long non-coding RNA (SMIL_LNC007612)
Source: RNAcentral
AUCUCUCCUCACUCACGCCUCUCUCCAUCUCGCUCUAUCUUCAGCCGAGUUCUCCCUCAAAAUCAGUCGAGCUCAGCCCCUUCCUCUUUCUUUCUCGAUCUGUUCGUCCGAGGCGAGAAGGGCGAGCCCAAAUUUCUCCCUGAUAUUGAAAUCGCCUCUGUCGCCGCUGCAACAUCCGGCGAACAGCCGGGUCUCGCUCGACCUCCUGCGUCGGCUCUUCUUCCCAAUCUGCUGAAGGGAAGCAGAAGUCCUAAUCUUCCUCGCGGAUUUUGAACCACCUCCCUCAGCUCGGCGCCGCGGCGUUCUGUGAACCCGGUGAAUUUCAGUCUCCGUCCAGUUCUCUGUCCACCUCCGGCGAACAGCCGAUUCUCGUUCGUCUUCAGAAUCUCCCUCCGUCGUCGAGCCCUAAGUUUCAAAAAGGGCAGAACGCCGUUGCCGAGCGUCCGCUGCUGCUGCGCUCGAGCCCUUGCUCGGCCAUGGUUCAGGUCAGCUGCUGUUGUGUGAUUUCCGGCGAGCAGGGGAGGGUCCACCUUUGCUGUCGCUGUUCCCGGCGAAGGGUGUCGCCUUCGUUGUUCUCCGGGGUCGAUGGGGUUCGAGUUGCGCCCCACGCCGCCGCUGCUGCCGUUCUCGGACUUCUCCGUCGAAAGUCUGCCGCCUCCGUCGAUUCCCCGAGCCCCGACGUCGCUGCUGUAACUCAGAUUCCGACAAGGCAGCUCGCUGUCGUCUUCCUUGAGCUCGACUAUACAGGGCAGUCGGCCCUAUUCCUUAAGCUAAGUUCUUUAGUUUCAUUCUUCCUUUUUAUCGAUUCGAAAACGUGAACUAGACAAGGUGAAAUCUUCUUGUUUUGCAUAACUCAAAUUAUGCUCGUUUACUCCUAUGUAAUCUGUCACUUGUUCAUGAUCGCAUAGUUGGGUGUUUACUAAGUUCAAGAUUCUUAUAACUUGCUAUUCUAGAGUGCAUCAGAUUGUGAAACUUAUGAUCACUCUACUGUACGACAUAUCUUCCCUAUUUGAUGCAGAUGAACUGUGAUAUGUAAGAUAUGGAUGUGAACUGAAUUGAAUAUUAGGAUAGCAUGAUUACCUUGAAUGUUUGUGCUUUUGGUUGGCUGCGGUGAUGUUGAGUUCAAUGAGAAGAUAGCUGAAAACAAAUUGUGUAUUUUGUUUGCUUAACAAUGCAGGAGGAACUUAGGAAGAAACUGGAGAGGAUCAGGUCAAUCUUACCUCUCGAAUCUUGCAGCAAUUAUGACAACUUCCUCAAGCUGUUGAUGCGUAAAGAGAGAAGGAUUUGGUGGGUGAUAUAAUAAGGAGUGAAGUUGGUGGCUGUAAAGGGAGGAAAGCAUGGCUUUUGGUGGUUGAAGAGGUGGGGAACAAAGGAUGGUGGCAGCACACUUAUUUCUUUCCACUAACUCUAAUGAUUUUCCUUUAUUGCUUUAAUGAUUUUCCUUUAUUGAUUCCUUGUCGGCUGAUGGUAUUAAACAAGGAAUGGUGUUGCAUUUGAUGUGUAGUAAUGUGGGAUAUGGCUGAAGUAAAGCUCUUGCCUCUUGGGAAUUAUAAACUUGUAGUACAGUAACGCGCUUAAUGAAAUACUAAUCUUGAAUUCUUACUAAUGUAGCGUAUAUAUAUAUAUACUCGCACGAUAUUUGAUUUCUUGCUUGCUAGCAUCGAUGGACUGUAAAAUAAAUCUAAAUUAAAUCCGUAGAUUUAAUUCUCCUCACAAGCCGGAAAUAAUCCACGACUUAAGUAAUUAUAAAUAAUAGAAUCGAUAGUCUCAUCUCGCUUAAUUAAUUAACGUGACUUUGCUAAGUCAGUUAUAACUCUGAAAUAAUAUCAUUGACUGCUUUAAUAAUAUGAAUUCAGGAUCAUAAGCUGAAUUCAUAUCAGGAUAAUAAACGUUUUCAUUCACUGAUGAACAAAAAUAAACACUCAUUACUGGAUUUAAAAUAUAUAAAAGAGCGGGUCACUACAUAAACUGAGCCCAAUUGAAAAUUAAUGGCCCAAACUGAAACAAAAAUAAACAAAAACUCGGCCCAAUACUCAAACCUAGCCUAGCCCAAAACUCCCUCCCUUCUUCUCCCCCCAUCAGCCGCACACACACUCACAACUGCAGAUAAUUGCGUUUGUCCCACGAUUUGUUGCCGUUUCCAGUUAGCCCGUUGAGUAGCCUACUUUAGUAACUCCUUCUCUCUCUAGCGGUGAAUCUUCAACAGCCCUGAUACCUCCGGGACUUAGGGACGACGACGAGCGCCGUCGACUCCCUCUCUCUCUCUGAAUCAGUCCGGCGAGCAACCAUGAAGGUCGUCGCCGUCCUCUCCUUCGGUUCUCUCUCAAAUCUCCCCCCCUGUUAACAGAUCUGGAGGGCGCGGUCAGUGGCUCCACGCCACCACCGUCCGAGUCGUCUCCCUCCUUGGAAACGGCGAGAUCGCCGCUCCCUCCCUCUCUCUCUGCUCUCCCUCCGUCCGUGGCCGGACGACAGCGGCAGGGCCGCCGCGCCCUGACCUCCACAAAUCCCCAGCCCAGACCAGCCACCGCCCCAGCCCCUGUUCCCGAUUGCCGAAGUGUCGCAGCCCGCCUUAACUAAGGAUAGUUAAGCCGAGUGAUCUACGACUAGGGAUGGGGUUAAAGAAUAAGGGGAAGAAAGGGGCAUCAUUUGGAACCGUAAAUCUUACUCAACUUAAGAAAACUCGUCGUAUCUACUCAUUAAUACUCAAUUGAAAAGAGUCUAUGAAAGACAACAUAAAAACUUAAUUAAUACUCCCUCCGUCCGCGAUAUCGUUUCCACAUUUGCCAUUUCGGUCCGUCCGCGAUAUCGUUUCCACUUCCAUUUAUAGAAGUAGGGUCCACAAACUUCCACUCACAAUAAUAGUGGGACCCAAACUCCACUCACUACAUAUGCACUACUAUCCACUAAUUUUCUUAAAACCCGCGCCGUCCACAAUGUGAAAACGAUAUCGCGGACGAAGGGAGUAUCAUUAAUCAAGUUAUACAUCAGAUGAAACCAUUAUCUUAAGACUCAAAGUAUGACAUAACAUACUAUAACAUCAACAACAUCUUGCAGCGGAAAGUAGCUAGACAUAUGUAUGAAGACAUAUUCUAGACAGGUUAACUAUUUAUUAACAACCCUGGAGACUCCGCCCAUUGCAGCACCAUCACCACAUCAGCUCAACCUGCACAUUUAGAAAACAUAUGCAGGGCUGAGUACAAAAGCACUCAGUGAACACAUNAAGAGCCAAUUAAAUAAAAGACUGGCCCAAUUCGAAUUUAAAUAUGAAAGCCCAAGCAAUUAAAAUUGGAAGCCCAAUUUCAUUAAAAAUAAUCUCAAAAUUUCGGCCCACAUAAAUUAGAGGAAAGCCCAAACAAUUAAAAUUAAUCAAGCCCAAAGAAUUAAAUGAAAAGGCCCAAUCACAGCCCAAAUACUAAAAUAAAUAAAGCCCAAAUCCUUCUCCCCCAAACAUCUCGGUUCUCUCUCUCAGCAUAACACUCUCGUUCUUUCUCUCUUUAUUCCAAAAAGUCGAGCUCUCUCUCCCUUCAAGAAACCGCUUUCUCUCUUUUUCUUCUCUCAAAAUUGUCGGCCAUGCUCUAUUUCACUUCCUCUUGCUCAAAAUCCCAUCUCUCUCUCUCUCAAAGGAAACACACUGCUGCUAUCUCUCCUCACUCACGCCUCUCUCCAUCUCGCUCAAAAUCAGUCGAGCUCAGCCGAGUUCUCUCUCUCAAAAAUCACUCACGCCUCUCUCCAUCUUCCUCUUCAGCCGAGUUCUCCCUCAAGAUCAGUCGAGCUCAGCCCCUUCCUCUUUCUUUCUCGAUCUGUUCGUCCGAGGCGAGAAGGACGAGCCCAAUUUCUUCCUGAUAUUGAAAUCGCCUCUGUCGCCGCUGCAACAUCCGGGUCUCGCUCGACCUCCUGCGUCGGCUCUUCUCACUCUCAAAGAAACACACACACAGACGCACAUCUCACCCUCUCACGCGAUCUGCUGCCGCUGCCUGAGACCCGCGAAGGAUCCGGCGCAACCGCCGCCGACAAAUGUUGCUGUUGCCGCUGCUGUCUGAGAUCGGUGGUCCGCCUGCUGGAGGAACGCCGCUGCCGUCAGCUCGUCCGAAGUCGCCGCCAACUACCGCUGCCGUUUCGCCGGAGUCGCGGCCUGGAGCUGCUGCAGCUCGAGCCCUUGCUCGGCCAUGGUUCAGGUCAGCUGCUGUUGUGUGAUUUCCGGCGAGCAGGGGAGGGUCCACCUUUGUUGUCGUUGUUCCCGGCGAAGGGUGUUGCCUUCGUUGUUCUCCGGGGUCGAUGGGGUUCGAGUUGCGCCUCACGUCGCCGCUGCUGCCGUUCUCGGACUUCUCCGUCGAAAGUCUGCCGCCUCCGUCGAUUUCCCGAGCCCCGACGUCGCUGCUGUAACUCGGAUUCCGACAAGGCAGCUCGCUGUCGUCUUCCUUGAGCUCGACUAAACAGGGCAGUCGGCCCUAUUCCUUAAGCUAAGUUCUCUAGUCAUUCUCCUUUUAUCGAUUCGAAAACGUGAACUAGACAAGGUGAAAUCUUCUUGUUUUGCAUAACUCAAAUUAUGCUCGUUUACUCCUAUGUAAUCUGUCAUUUGUUCAUGAUCGCAUAGUUGGGUGUUUACUAAGUUCAAGAUGCUUAUAACUUGCUAUUCUAGAGUGCAUCAGAUUGUGAAACUUAUGAUCUCUCUACUGUAGGACAUAUCUUCCCUAUUUGAUGUUGAUGCAGAUGAACUGUGAUAUGUAAGAUAUGGAUGUGAACU